CCUACGGGGGGCAGCAGUGAGGAAUAUUGGUCAAUGGGCGCGAGCCUGAACCAGCCAAGUAGCGUGAAGGAUGACUGCCCUACGGGUUGUAAACUUCUUUUAUAAAGGAAUAAAGUGAGGCACGUGUGCCUUUUUGUAUGUACUUUAUGAAUAAGGAUCGGCUAACUCCGUGCCAGCAGCCGCGGUAAUACGGAGGAUCCGAGCGUUAUCCGGAUUUAUUGGGUUUAAAGGGAGCGUAGAUGGGUUGUUAAGUCAGUUGUGAAAGUUUGCGGCUCAACCGUAAAAUUGCAAUUGAUACUGGCAGUCUUGAGUACAGUUGAGGUAGGCGGAAUUCGUGGUGUAGCGGUGAAAUGCUUAGAUAUCACGAAGAACUCCGAUUGCGAAGGCAGCUUACUAAUCUAUAUCUGACGUUGAGGCACGAAAGCGUGGGGAGCAAACAGGAUUAGAUACCCGAGUAGUC
Molecule: ribosomal RNA, 460 nt
Filed under: uncultured bacterium
Lineage: Bacteria
Description: partial 16S ribosomal RNA
Rfam family: Bacterial small subunit ribosomal RNA
Source: RNAcentral